CCUACGGGUGGCAGCAGUGGGGGAUAUUGGACAAUGGGGGGAACCCUGAUCCAGCGACGCCGCGUGAGUGAAGAAGUAUCUCGGUAUGUAAAGCUCUAUCAGCAGGGAAGAAGAAAUGACGGUACUUGAGUAAGAAGCCCGGCCUAACUACGUGCCAGCAGCCCGGGUAAUACGUAGGGGGCAAGCGUUAGCCGGUUUUACUGGGUGUAAAGGGAGCGUAGACGGUGUUGUAGGUUUGGAGUGAAAGUCAGGGGCUCAACCCGCGGACUGCUUUGGAAAUUUUGAGACUAGGGUGCAGGAGAGGUGAGCGGAAUUCCUAGUGUAGCGGUGAAAUGCGUAGAUAUUAGGAGGAACACCAGUGGCGAAGGCGGCUCACUGGACUGUAACUGACGUUGAGGCUCGAAAGCGUGGGGAGCAAACAGGAUUAGAUACCCUUGUAGUC
Molecule: ribosomal RNA, 442 nt
Filed under: uncultured bacterium
Lineage: Bacteria
Description: partial 16S ribosomal RNA
Rfam family: Bacterial small subunit ribosomal RNA
Source: RNAcentral